UUUAAAUUCAUAAUUUUAUGAGAUAAAAAAGUUAUCUCAUAUCUCAGCUAAUUGUAUGAGACACAAAAUAAAAUUCUCCAUUUAGAGCGAAGCCACGUGUUAUGGGUUUGAAGAAAACUAUCCGAUUGGAAAAUAUGCCGCCUGUUUCAAUUUAUACGACAUAAUUAGAUUAGGCAUAAAGUAAACAUAAAAUUUUAAAAAAAAU
Molecule: long non-coding RNA, 205 nt
Filed under: Nicotiana benthamiana
Lineage: Eukaryota; Viridiplantae; Streptophyta; Magnoliopsida; Solanales; Solanaceae
Description: long non-coding RNA (NBEN_LNC010311)
Source: RNAcentral